CCUACGGGAGGCAGCAGUAGGGAAUCUUCCACAAUGGUCGAAAGCCUGAUGGAGCAACGCCGCGUGGGUGAAGAAGGUCUUCGGAUCGUAAAACCCUGUUGUUAGAGAAGAAAGGGCGUGAGAGUAACUGUUCACGUUUCGACGGUAUCUAACCAGAAAGCCACGGCUAACUACGUGCCAGCAGCCGCGGUAAUACGUAGGUGGCAAGCGUUAUCCGGAUUUAUUGGGCGUAAAGGGAACGCGGGCGGUCUUUUAAGUCUGAUGUGAAAGCCUUCGGCUUAACCGGAGUAGUGCAUUGGAAACUGGGAGACUGGAGUGCAGAAGAGGAGAGUGGAACGCCAUGUGUAGCGGUGAAAUGCGUAGAUAUAUGGAAGAACACCAGUGGCGAAAGCGGCUCUCUGGUCUGUAACUGACGCUGAGGUUCGAAAGCGUGGGUAGCAAACAGGAUUAGAUACCCUUGUAGUC
Molecule: ribosomal RNA, 465 nt
Filed under: uncultured bacterium
Lineage: Bacteria
Description: partial 16S ribosomal RNA
Rfam family: Bacterial small subunit ribosomal RNA
Source: RNAcentral